This is a long non-coding RNA of Eriocheir sinensis (Chinese mitten crab), 538 nucleotides long. RefSeq lists it as uncharacterized. The transcript is spliced from 2 exons. The record is from RefSeq and is a predicted model, not a curated record. Lineage: Eukaryota; Metazoa; Arthropoda; Malacostraca; Decapoda; Varunidae.
UGUUGAUACAGGGCAAGUGCUUUGUUUACGUUGUGGAUGUGGAUACGGGCAACCGAUCUUGGCCUGGAAAAGUUGGAUUUGCCGGUUGUCCAAGCUGCCGCCAACGCUGUGGGAAGAAAAUGGCCCAGUGUGACACCAGCAGGCUACGGGCAACCGACAACUCGCUCCCAGUAGCCACAACGGUUAGAAGAAAACGGCCAGUGUGACACUGCCCCAAGGCAGCGAGGCCGCUGACCGGGUGAGCGCCAGCGAUAAUGUCAUCAGACUCCCAGCGAAUCACAAGCGUGUUUUCAGAGCUCAGCCAAUCGUAAGGCUUCAUCUGUGGCUUUAAAACGACCCGUUCCCUCUUCCUGUUUUCUUCCUUUUUCCAAGAACAUCAUGGCAGCAAUGUUUACUUCUCCAUGCAGAGUGCUCUCUUCCAUCAGACUUGCAAGAUGCAUUUGUAACACCUCUGUUUCUUUCACAGGUAAGCAAGACUAAAGUAUGUAUAAAGGCCAUAUACCAGAAUUCUUUUGUAAUAAACUUUUCAUGUAAGUGG